RNAcentral lists this non-coding RNA (18 nucleotides) under Arabidopsis thaliana (thale cress). Lineage: Eukaryota; Viridiplantae; Streptophyta; Magnoliopsida; Brassicales; Brassicaceae. The record is from RNAcentral.
CCCGUUGCUCUGAUGAUU